UAAACAUCUCUCAAAUAUUUGGAAUGUGAAGGGCUUAUAUAUAAGAAUAAUAAUGGGCGGAUUAUUCACUCCUGUGCUUCCCUAUUUCAUUGCCCCCACCGUAAUUCGGUCAAAUCUGACUGCGGUAAAUCAAUAAGAUUUACAAUUGGAGGCCUUAUUUAGGCGGGCGACGAGGAAGCGGUAGCAGCAUCAGGAAUCUGAUUGGUUGGUGAUGAUGAUGGACGACGACGACGACGAUGACGAUGGAGUUGACAACGAGAGAGAGCACGCUGGUCGGCGCUCAUGGAAGAUGGGGUCCACGGCUGCUUACUUGCGUGCUCCCCCUCGUUGUCACCCCUUCUCUCUUAGUGAUCUCAUCGCCGCGAAAUAGCUUCAAGCUUUCUUUUUUUUUGGUAGGGUUUCAUAUUUUGCUCUUAAAUUAAAUGUUCUUAACUGAAAAGAUGCAUGCCUCAAUUUGUUUCCUUGAAAGAAAAAACAGCUAAAAUGUUGUGUAGCUAAGCGAAGAUGCUGUGAUUGUGUACAGUAGAUAUGGGCUUAUCAAUUACUAUUAGUAUUUCGUUAAAAUUUUAUUUUUUAAUUAAUUUUUUGGGAGCUUCAGAUUCUAACUGAUAGGAUUGGUACUAUGCGAUCUUGUAAAAUUUAUGUUUGGUGUUAUUAUCAGUUUGUUAUUUGGUAUAUUAA
Molecule: long non-coding RNA, 681 nt
Organism: Asparagus officinalis (garden asparagus)
Lineage: Eukaryota; Viridiplantae; Streptophyta; Magnoliopsida; Asparagales; Asparagaceae
Exons: 2
Source: RefSeq, a predicted model, not a curated record